Molecule: ribosomal RNA, 61 nt
Filed under: Rhizoctonia solani
Lineage: Eukaryota; Fungi; Basidiomycota; Agaricomycetes; Cantharellales; Ceratobasidiaceae
Description: partial 28S ribosomal RNA
Rfam family: Eukaryotic large subunit ribosomal RNA
Source: RNAcentral
GAUCUGAUCUCAAAUCAGGUAGGACUACCCGCUGAACUUAAGCAUAUCAAUAAGCGGAGGA